CUGUGAUCCCAGUGCAGCUGACUCACAUCCAGCAUCUCAGUGGACUUCACAACAGUACGCCUGCACUCCUGGCUGCUCGCUGUCCCAAAUAUCCUCCAUUUGAGUGAGGAAAGGAAGUGGGGUGCAGCUGGCCUGCGGGAAGCUUUUGUUCCUGGAAACCACGAGGAAGUCAACACAUCAUUUGGGAAAUUGAAGAGGCAGCAGGGCUGGACUUGUGAGAACCAGUUUUCAAAGAAAAAGGAGUGUGGAAGGAUGGGGAAGGGGAAUGGUGGGAAGAACACGAGGAAGAACUUAGAUGUGAUCCAUACAGUUGGGCCGAUAGCAAGAGGGCACAUCACUGAUACUCAUAAAGAAAACUUGGCAAGUUGCUAUAAAUCCUCUCUGAAACUGGCAAAAGAGAACAGCAUCAGAUCACUUGUAAGUACUGUGUGAGAACCUAAUUUGAAUCGCUGUUUCCUUGCCUUAGGAUAACUAUUGAUAAACAACAGAAUUCCACAAGGAAUUCUUGAUGCACAUAAUAUGGAAAAAAUAGGUGUUUGCCCAAAAAAGUUGCUAGACAAAAAAAAAAAAAGGCAGAGAUGGCUUUAGCAGGGGCUCUAUGGAGGCGAUGGGAGGGGACAGUGGUAUAGCCCUUGCGUGGUUCCCGUGCCGAAGAGUGGCACCUCAACUUGUCUGUGCCACGUGCAGGGGAUGGCUGUGCAAAGGCAUGGCAGUUGUGGGUGCACAGUUGGCCAUGAGCUCUGGCCAACUGUUAUUUGGGUGAAAUAAAAUCAAUGUGCAGAUGGGAGUUGGAUGUGAU
Molecule: long non-coding RNA, 799 nt
Filed under: Chrysolophus pictus (golden pheasant)
Lineage: Eukaryota; Metazoa; Chordata; Aves; Galliformes; Phasianidae
Description: lncRNA (ENSCPIG00010005197.1)
Source: RNAcentral